GUCGUAUUUUCCUUUCUUCACAGCAGAUAAUUGGGUUACCCAUGUCAGAAACCGAAGAGUGUAUACUGCAUAGAAGUGAAGAUUUGCUUGAUAAUUGCAUUAGUUGAGGUUAUUUUCUCCCGGGUUGUUUUUCGGUUGUCUCCGAUUACAGGUCAGAAGCUGCUUUUGUAUGGCAAUUUUAGUUUAACAUAUAUGAUUUCUGGGAGCUGUUUUUAUUCAGCAUUCUGCUGAGUUUUUGGUUGCUUGCCCAGUUCGGUCUUUUUCGUUGGUUUUAUCUGGUGUUUUGAGGUGUCAUCUUCCCAGUUGUUCUACCGAUAUGGAUGGUGGGGUGAUUAAUUUUUGGGGCCUGAAACUGUUUACCUUUGUUCCAGCUAAUAAUCUCACCAAUAGCCAGUUCACAGCUUCUUGUUUUGAUUGGUUUAAUCGGAUGAGGUUGCUUUGGGCUUGUGGGUAUUUUGCUUGGUUUAAUGCGGAUGAGGUGGUUUUUUUUAUUUUGGCUGAGGUUUUUUUUGGUCCAGGCCAAACGUGAUUCAGAAGCCCAGUGGGGUCUUAAAAGCCCAAGUAUUAUUUUCUGCUAUGUUUUUUUGUCGUUGGAAGGGAGCCAAUUUUUUAUUUCUUGUCUUCUGUUAAAUUGGGCCAGUUUGAAGGCCCUUUAGACCGGUGUGGUUGAAGGAAGCUGAAGGCCCUUUAGGGGUUGUGGGUUUCUAUUUUUUAGUUUUUUGUUGUUUGUGUUU
Molecule: long non-coding RNA, 734 nt
Filed under: Helianthus annuus (common sunflower)
Lineage: Eukaryota; Viridiplantae; Streptophyta; Magnoliopsida; Asterales; Asteraceae
Source: RNAcentral